Molecule: ribosomal RNA, 281 nt
Filed under: unidentified marine bacterioplankton
Lineage: Bacteria
Also listed under: 1 other name
Description: partial 16S ribosomal RNA
Rfam family: Bacterial small subunit ribosomal RNA
Source: RNAcentral
AUGCAAGUCGAACGAUGAACUUCCUUCGGGAAGGGAUUAGUGGCGAACGGGUGAGUAACACGUGAGAAAUCUGCCCUUCACUCUGGAAUAACUCCGGGAAACCGGAGCUAAUACCGGAUACUCAAAUCUGGCGGCAUCGCUGGAUUUGGAAAGUUUUCGGUGAAGGAUGAUCUCGCGGCCUAUCAGCUUGUUGGUGAGGUAACGGCUCACCAAGGCUACGACGGGUAACCGGCCUGAGAGGGCGAACGGUCACACUGGGACUGAGACACGGCCCAGACUCC